AUUGAACGCUGGCGGCAGGCCUAACACAUGCAAGUCGAACGAGUUGCGGACGGGUGAGUAAUGUCUGGGAAACUGCCCGCUGGAGGGGGAUAACUACUGGAAACGGUAGCUAAUACCGCAUACCAUCGGAUGUGCCCAGAUGGGAUUAGCUAGUAGGUGGGGUAACGGCUCACCUAGGCGACGAUCCCUAGCUGGUCUGAGAGGAUGACAAGCCACACUGGAACUGAGAAACGGUCCAGACUCCUACGUGAGGCAGCGGUGGGGAAUAUUGCACAAUGGGCGCAAGCCGGAUGCAGCCAUGCCGCGUAUAUGAAGAAGGCCUUCGGGUGGUAAAAUACUUUAAGUGAGGAGGCGUUACUCGAAGAAGAAGCACCGGCUAAAUCCGUGCCAGCAGCCGCGGUAAUUC
This 406-nucleotide ribosomal RNA is filed under the name uncultured bacterium. RNAcentral's name for it is "partial 16S ribosomal RNA". It matches the Rfam family "Bacterial small subunit ribosomal RNA", at positions 30 to 526 of the family's 1533-position model. The record is from RNAcentral.